This 3526-nucleotide long non-coding RNA is filed under the name Homo sapiens (human). RNAcentral's name for it is "HSALNT0358267". The record is from RNAcentral. Lineage: Eukaryota; Metazoa; Chordata; Mammalia; Primates; Hominidae.
GAAUUCCAUGACCCAGUUUACAGUAAAUUGGAAGUAGACAGAAGGUGUAUUAGUCUGACCACAAAGAUGGAAAAGAAAAUCUAUCAAAAAAGAGACAGACUACUCAGUCAGAUAAUGAGGCCCUUCAAGUUAUAAAUAAGCUUUCCUGCUUAUAUCAGGACACCUUCAUCCUAUUAUUGUAUUAUAGCAUAGUACAAUUAUAUUUGGUCACAAUACUGACAAUGAGUCAUCCACAGCAUCAUCACCCAGCAUUUAUUGAUGUCUACUGUAAAGUAGAGUUGGAUGGCACCAUUUCUGCUCUCAAACAGUUUAAAAGAUCCCUGUGCAGAAAAAGACGUAUUUAGAACAUUUUGGUUGGUAAGGUGAUAUGUAACAAACUUGAGAUCUUAUAGGAUAGGAGAACACUAGGACACUAAUUAGGAACUGGUCCCAGGAACAAAGACCUUCUGGACUCAUCUGACAAGAUAAGAAUCAUCAAGCAUUCUUCCAGCAGAAAGUGACAAAGCCCUCCUUGAGCUGCUCAUGAGAAUUCACAAAUUUUUCAGAUAAAAGAUGCCUAUUUUAUUCUGGCUGAAAGCAUGAACAGAAUAAACAAUGAGCUCUGUGAAGAAUGUUCUAUGAACCCGAAUCAAACUCAAACUCCUGUGUCACUCCGGUACGCCUGAUCACUGGAUAUAACCACGUAUUGGUCCAGAACCUCCCUCUCUGUUACUACUCCCUUUGGAUUUAUCCAGUAGUCUUAGACGUCACCAGGGCCAAGCCAUGCAUAUAUAGAUUGAAAUGUUGUUUUCAAAACCUACUCAAGCUAUCUCUUGAUGAACAAGAUUAGUACCAUCUGAUUACAACCCUGAAGAGUCUAGAUUCCUUAUUCUGCAAAAUGGAUUUAUUGUAUCUCAAGGCACUGUGAAGUUUGCAGUAGCAUGUAUAGGCAAAAAGGAAAGUCCAAAGAGAGGAAAAGAAAGCAGGAGAGAUCUGAAAUGACACAAGAAGUGACUCAGAAUGGGAAGAUUGUGCACUCCUUGUUGUCCCCUAAUGCACAUGGAAGUAUGCAACAGAAGCUGUGAAAAUAACCCAGAGAGAAAGAAAAAAAUGAUGUAAAUUUAAACAUAGCAUAUUCUGGAAACAGUAUGCUUAUGGAACAGCCAGAGAGAUUUUCAAAACUUGAUCAUCUAAAUGCAGAGAACAGUUUCAAGGCUCUUUCUCACUUUCUCAUUUGAUUCCUGCAAUUGAAGCCAUCUGCUAUGCUGUGUCCUGUUCUUUGGAUCAGCACAUAUGACAAGGAAGUGAAAGUAGUCUCUGUCCAACAAUCAGUCUAACAGCCUGAGAAGAACUGAAUUCUGUCAAUGACCACGUAAGCUUCGAAGCAGACCUUUCGCUUGUUGAGCCUUCAGAUAGACAGCAGCCCUAGCUGACAUCUUAACUGCAGUCUUGUGACAGGUCCUCAGACAGGAUAAGCCAAAUUAUACCCAGACUGCUGAUCCACAGAAAAUGAGAGGAAACUCCAGGAUUCUAAAAGUAAAGCCCUAUGGAAAUAAAUCAAUAACAUUUCAAAUGAAGAACCAAAAUCGGGAAAUGCAAAUCACAACUCUAACAUCAACAUUAACUUAUAGCCAGACAAUUAUGCAUUUCUUUAGUCAACAACUAGCUGCUAAUUAUUUACUAUGUGUCAAGUCUUAUAAUGCUGAAGUGAAGAAAAGAGAUUUAAAGUCAUGGAUGUGGUUUCCUUUGGACCUUAAAUUCUAGCACAAAAUAUGAUAAACAUUGUAAUCAAUGCUAUCAUGUACAGGUAUGUGGUGUUAUGUGAAUAUAUGGGAAUACCUAAUUCGUAAACUGGGUUUAGAAAAUUCUUGCAGAAGAAAGUGGCAUCCAAACAAAGAACCAAGAACGAAUAAAAAUUAUUAUAGAUAAAGUGAAGCGGGUCUAGUGGAAUGACAAAAUUACUGAGUGUCAAGAGGUGGAAGGACUUGGUGAAUAAUUUGAAAAGGAACCAUCGGAGGAUGAUGGCCACAUUUCUGGCUCCAGCCAUCAGUAUGAACUUAUGGUUGAAGGCAUUCUCAGGGGUUAACAAGAAUUCUGGACAGAAAUAUGGCUAUAAUGACAUGGAGGCCAGCUUAUACAGAUGGCAAAAUCACAAGAUUGAAAGAUACUGAAUCAUUGAGUCACUACCUUGUAGAGACCUAUUCAGGAAAACAGGCUGGCAUCAGACCAACGUAAGGUUGAUAAAUAAACCAUCAUUGCAAUAAGCUACUGAGAUCUGGGGGUUGUAUUACAGCAAGUAGUAUUUGUUAUUCUAACUACUACAAAAACUAAUACUCACUAAGCAGUUACAAUGCCCUAGAAAUUUUACUAAAUGGCUUGCAUACAUUAACCCUUUUAAACUCUGAUGAACCAUCCUUACGUAGGUAUCUUUGUUAUCCCCAUUUUACAAAUGCAAAUCUGAAGUUAAAAGACUACAUGACUUACAUAGGGUUACAAAGAUAUUCCAAAGAAUGGGAAUUUCCUUGAAGACGGAGGCAAACCUAAAAUAAGUUUGUACUCUAAGAGUUAAAUAAGCAAAAUCCACUGGAAGAGAUUAGCUAUUUGUAAAUGCAUUGUCAAUGUGAGUUUUUGGUAAAUGGGAGUCGUGAAUUUAAUCCCAAACCAUUAAUUUUAGAGACAAAAGAAGAUAUAUAAAAAUCCCUGGUUUUAUUUUAAUUUUAUAUUUUUUAGUAAACAGACCACUAUGGAAUUGUUAAAAUGUAUUUUACAGCCAUUUUUAAGGUUACAAAUAAUUUUUGUUAUGGGAUCUUUCUAUAUUUUAUGACUUUAAUUAAAUUUCUGAUUUCUGUUCCAAACAUUGCAAUAUAAGACAGUAUAAAACACACUUUAAUCAUUAAAUUUAUAGAUAAUUUUGUGACUUUUUAGAGCUUAUAACACCAAGGGACUGAUAAUAGAGGAUAAUGUGCAUAAAAUACACUCCGGCACAUUCCACAAACUCUAUCCUUAGGAUCUUUUUUUCCCAUAACCCAGCCACUAAUACAUACACUAAGAAAGUCUCAUCCGGGCUGUUCUACAAUUGCCAUCAUCUUUAAAGAGUAAUCUUGUCACCUGAACUAGGUGAAAUGAAGAACUUUUAAAACAACCACACGGAUCCGACUUUGCAGAAGCUUCUACGAAGACAAAUAGCAUCAAACAGACAUGUACUGUGCAUUCAUAAUUACAUUAGUGGCCACAAAAUACAAUGCUUAGUACACAUCCUUGGAACUCUUAAAACCAUCUUAAAUAAGAGAUCAAGCAAAUUUAAUUCUUUGUGAAAAUAUAUCUCAAGGUAGUUUCUACUGUCCUUAAUUUUUGUAGUAUAAAAUUUAACAAAGUAACAUCGCAUGUUCUUGUCCUUAAUUCCUUGGGGUCUAAUGAUUACAUUUUGAACAAAUGUCCAAUUUGGAAACCAAAUCAACCACUUUAUUUAAUGCAGAACACUAUAACAUUUUUUGGGGGGGGGGGCAGGGUCUCACUUUGUCACCCAGGCUGCAGUGCAGUGGCAGAA